UUAGUUGUCUAAAAUUAAGACAAUAGGGAAAACACGUUUCUAAAACUAUAUUUUUUCCCUCUAGUCUUUUAUUUUCUUCUAUCACUAAGCUCUACAUGUCUUUGCUUCCCCGACGGCUGGCUCUUGCGAAGCGUUCAUGGUGUGCAUGAUCAAUGGCCGGAUCGCGGGAAGGAAUGGAGGGAUUUUAUUUAACCUACAAAAUCCUCCCAUAUUUUCUCAUCCGGAUAGCAGAGGCAGGAGCUACAGGGGAAGCAGGAGCACCGGGAGCAGAGGCAACAAAGGAAGCGUUUAUUCAGAAUCUCCAGAUCCUGAAGCAUCUGUUGAUUUGGAACCUCCAGAUCCAACUGAUGUCAUUUUGUGUACUGGUUUUCCAGCUCCAGAUCGAGGGGUUUAGAGAUCUUAAACAAUUUUCGAUGCCAUAGCCGGCCCAAGGGUUGAAUCAGGUUUUACUUGAUAUUUCAGAUUUCUUUGAGCAUUAGAAAAGAGAUUCGGUAUUGUCAAUUGCAAAGACAUAUUCAACUUUGUCAUUGUCCUCCUUCAAUAGCACCGACUUCAUGUACCAAAUCUAAGAUUAUUGUAUAUCAGCCAGAGGCCAAGCUUUUUGACACUACUACUCCCACGGUUAUUCUACCUCAACAAUUCUACUAGGCUAUUUUUCUGGUGUUUAUACGAUAUGGCUGACGAGGGAAAUAAUACAUCAUCAUCCUCUGAAUAUUCAGAUGAGCGAGCAGCACGACCAGCUCCAAGGAAAAAUGAAUACUUCAAUGAAAUGAUAUAUUGCACUUUCAAUAGGUGCCAAAAUAGGAAACUAAAGAAGCGGCGACUUAUUGGUAUCCAUAGAUUGAACUAUGGGGUUUAUAUAGAAGAGGUACACUAUAAUUAACAAAUUAUUAUUCUUAUAAUAAAUAAAGGUUCACAUUAUUCAAUACAUUAUUAUUGAUCAUUUCAAUUGGUUUUUUGAUAAAAAGUCGCUUCCAGUUCACAAUAUUCCUGAAGAUCCAACAGAUGUCACCGAUGAUAGCCACUCUCAAGAUGAAGAACAAGACACAUUUAUGGAUUAAUCCACUUCACAGAUAAAUGAGGUUGGUGUUGAUGAAUUCAUCAAAGACCUCUACACAUCUUUUGAAGAAGUUAUUGAUUCCCCCCUAGAUCAGUUGGCUAGGAGGCCUGUUUUCUCAAAUGCAAAUACUUCUAUAUUGGCAACACUUAUGUUGUUGUUGAAUUUGAAGGUUACACAUAGAUUGACAAAUACAUUCUUUGUUGAUAUAUUAAGGUAGGAUUUGAUAUUCGUAUAAAUUAAUGCUCUUGAUGUCUUGAUUUUUUUUAAUAAUGUGUAUACUUAUCUUAUAAAAAUCAUUUGUUGCAUCAUGUAGGCUUUUAGCAAACAAAAUACUUCCAAAGGAUAAUAAGUUGCCUCAUUCACAUAGAGAAGUAUCUUCGGUAAUGAAAGAUAUUGGAAUGGAGUACAAUACAUAUGAUGCAUGUCCAAAUGACCAUAUAUUGUACUAUGGAAGGAAUGCAAAUUUGCAGCAAUGCCCAGUGUUUCACACAAAUAGAUAUCGUCAAGAUCAAGUAUCCAAGAAGGCUCCUUAUAAAGUACUACGACAUAUUCCACGGAAGCCAAGGUUCGCGAGGAUGUUCAAAUGCAAAGAGUUGGCAAAAUAUAUGAAUUAUCAUGCACAUGGGAGUAGCCAAGAUGGUGUCAUGCAUAUGGCCGCAGAUAGCAAACAUUGGAAAGAGAUUGAGGAAAAAUGGCCACAUUUAAGUAAUGAGCCAAGGAAUGUAAGAAUUUCUUUGGCAAUGGAUAGUGUAAAUCCUUUUCGAGAUCUUAGAACAACAUUUUUUGUUUGGCCAGUUUUAAUUAUUAACAACAAUCUUCCCCCCUUUAUGGCAAUGAAAAAGGAGCAGGCAAUGUUAACUCUUAUCAUACCAGGUACUAGAAUAUAUGAAUGCAAUGAUUUCUUGAAGAUUAUAUUAAAAUAUUUUAAUUUAGUUAAAACUCUGAUAAAAAACUUUUUCUUUACUUAGGGAAGUAUCAGGUAAAGGAUAUGGAUGUAUACAUGGAGCCCCUCAUUGAUGAGCUUCAUGAAUUAUGGGAUGGUGUAAAUAUGCUUGAUGUAUCAAGACCUAUCAAUGAUAGAAACUUCCUCUUUCAUGCUAUGCUUAUCUGGACAAUUCAUGGUGCCCCAGGGCUCUCUAUUUGUUGUGGUAAUAUAUUAUAAAUUAUAUUUGUAAUUAUUGUGUCCAUUGUACCAUUUAGUAAAUGUGGUUUCUAUUCUUAUUUCAAGGCUACAAACAAAGGGGAAACAUGGUUGUCCAUCAUGUGCGCCAAAAAUGUUGUAUAGGCAGUCAAAGGAUCUCAAUAAAACUGUAUAUGAUGAGUAUAGACAAUUCUUACCACAAAAUUAUCGCUAUCGGGUGCGUGAGAAAAAUAACUUCAAUGGAAAGGAAGUGGAAAUGAGGAAGCCAAGAAUGAUGAACCUUGCUAGGUGGAAAGCACUGUAUGAUAGAAAAGAAGGGACGAGCUUUCCACCAGGAAUGAAAAGACUCUAUUUUUCAACAAAUUAGACUAUUAUAAGAACUUGCCAAUAUCCCACCUAUUUGAUACUAUGCACAUCGGGAAAAAUGUGGCAAAGUGCUUGUGGAAACAUCUAAAUGGAACCAACCUUGAAGCACAAAUAAAGUUACGAAAGGACCUCCAAGUUGCCAAUGUCAAGCCAAACAUGUGGUUGCAUGAAAACAACUCAUAUAAUCAUGCUCCGUGGACUUUUACAUCAAAGGAGAAAGAAAACAUCAUUGAUACAAUGAAAAGCAUAAGAUUUUCUUCUGGCUUUGGUGCAACAUUAAAAAACUUAUUCACGAGAAAUGGAUCAGAGUUCUCAGGCCUAAAAACACAUAAUUGGCACAAUUGGAUAAAGGUAAUUUUGUAGUACAUUUGAUUUGUUGGAAACAUAAUUAUAAAUUUAUAUAUCCUAGUGAUAAUAUCAAUUCAUGUAUAUUUUUAACAUUGUUAUUUGUUAAUGGUCAUGCAGUAUGUGUUGCCUGCAGCAAUACCAAGCACUUUUGAUCGUGAUUUUAGGUUAACUAUUUACAAACUAUCCAAAUAUUUGAGGUAUUUUGAAUCAAUCAUUCCUACUCUUCCAUGACUUACAGUUUUGAAGUAAUCAUAAGUCUUUAUUGUAAUACAUGUUGAUACUUGUAGGUGGGUCUCAUCUAAAGAGAUACAUCCGGAUGACUUGAAGUAUUGGAAAAUGAAUGUUUCACUUUUGAUGUGUGAUAUUCAAAUGUGCUUCCCUCCAAGCUUUUUUAAUUUUCAAGAGCACUACCUUGUAUCCCUAGUAGAAGAGAUUGAACAAUGUGGUCCCAUUCAUAUUCGAACAAUGUGGCUUGUGGAGAGAUAUAUGAAGGUUUUAAAACAAUUUGUUAGGCAAAAGGCUCGACCAGAAGGGUCCAUGGUUGAGGGGUACAUGGUUUUCCAAGCGAUGGUUCAUUUGAGUGAGUACUUACCUUAAUUGCAUCUCGAAGCUCCUCGAUUAUGGAAUUAUAACCAACCUCAAUCAUUUGAAGGAGAAAAAUUAGAGGGUCAAGGGACUUCAAAGAGGAUAAAAGGUAUACAAAAAUGUUGGAAGUAGUUGUUUUUAUCUUAAAUUUUAUAAUACAUGCUUUUAAAUAAUUAUUAAUUCAUUGAACAAUUAUAUUUGUCAUUGUAGAUGCUAUAAGGAGUAGGAAACAUUACAUUUGUAUGUUGCAUACAAUUUCGACUUUAUGUUGGAAUGGAUGGAGAAGUACGCUGAACAAAAAAAUUAGAGGAUGAAAAGGCAUGGGCCAAUAUAUAUAAUAUACAUGGUCAAAACACUGCUCGAGGAUUGCCUACAAGACAUAAAAGAAAAUGGCCAGAGAGAUGCUCAUGGAAUUGGCUAAAGACCAAUAUUGAACAUGAGGCAACAAUAGGGAGGAAUAGAGUGACACAACAACAACUGAAUUUCGUGAAAGGAUCUAUAAAUGGGGAGGUGAUACAUACAUAGUAACAUAUUGGAGAGAUUUUAUAAAUCGUCUUUUAACUUUUGUAUUCUCGAAUCUAAUUAGCUAAUAUUUAUAUAAAUUUAGGUAACAUAUUACAAAGGAAUGUGGAAUUUUGGUCAUCACUUUCGCAUCAAAAAGGUUGAUGAAAAGAGACAAACUUAUGCUUGUAGAGUUUCAACAUCAUUUGAGGUGGAGAGUCGUUCACAUGCAAAUGAUAGACACCCAAUCACAAGCACACUUCGCUAUUAUGGAGUGUUGGAGGAUAUUAUAGAGCUUCAUUUUAUAUAUUUCAAGAAAGUUAUUUUUCAUGUUGAAUGGUACAAGCUUAUCAAAGUGGGUGAAGAAAAAUCUAUCUUUCUGCACAACAAUGGAUUCCAUAUGAUCAAUACAUCUAGGUUUGAAGCCACUUAUGAACCUUAUGUGUUUCCAAAUCAAUGUGACCAGAUAUUUCUCAUUCCAAAUUUAGAACAACCUGGCUGGUCAUUUGUGAUUGAUUAUGAUCCAAGAGGACGAAGAGUAACAUAUGUUGAAGACAAUGAAGAUGCAGAAGUCCCCCCUGAUGAUGAAAAUUGCGUAGAUGGAGAUGAUGAAAAUUUUAUUGUCAAUGAUGCAUAUGAUCAGGAUGAAGAUCAUGACGAGAUUAUUGAAGUGUUCGAAGGACAUGAGCAACCAGAUGGGCAUCAAGUCCAUGAAGAUGAUGAAUUUAUUGAUUUUCAUUUGCAUGUAGUUGAAGGUGAUGAAGAUCAUGAAAACGCUAGUAUUAAUUUAUUUGUAGAUUUAGGACCCAUUGAUGAUGGGGUAUUUAUGCCAUCAGAUGAAGAAAUUUCAUGCGAGGAUGACAUUAUUUGAUCACCAUGAUCACUUUAAGAAGGUUGUAAGGAUUUAAUACAAUUUAAUUAAUAUUUUACAAUUUAGGUCUCUAUUGGGACUGUUCAUACUGUCUUUUCUUUUCUUAAGGUCAAUUAGACCACAAAUGCACUAUUUUUGGUCUUUAUGAAUACUUAUUGGAAUCACUAUUUGUUGGUAUGAAGUCUCUUGUACAAAGUUACAAUCUUGCUUACCUAUAAUUUGUUCUAACCUUCCUUGUAAUGGCUUCCAUGGCAGUGACUGGUUCUUAUGACUACAAUUUUUUAAUGAUGUGCUAAUUGUCUCUAACUGUUAUGAAUGUUGUUAUCUUUGACAGUGAAUGUAUCUUUUGGUUUCACACAUUAUUCUUUAUUAAUGAGGGAUCACAUCUCUAAGACAUUCCUUUGGCUCUAUGACUGUUGAAGACAAAAUCUUGUGUUGUUCAUUGGGACUUGUUACAUGAUGUUCUCAUUAAGUACAUUCUGAUAUACUGUCAUAAUUCUGAAAUAGAAUGAAGAUUGAAAUACAAGUAUUCGUAAUGGUUGUCUUGUUUUUGGAUAUGCAUAGUAUACGCUUUCACAAAUACAUUUGUUGUCAAAGAUUGUUGCUUUUGCUCCUUCAUCAUGAUUGUGUGUGAUUGAGUCUAUUUUUCUAUGUUUGAACUUUCUAUUAGUGCUUUUGAAUGUCAUAUGAUUAUUAUUUUUCUUUAGAACUGCAACAAGGGUUGUCCCUAUGAUAAGUUGAGUGUGACACUUAUUUUUGCAACUUUCAUCCUAGGCAUAUGAUGUUGACAUGAUUUGAGAACAUUUCAAAUUCUUUGACUGCUAUUGUUUUUUAUUCAUUUCUGGCUGCAUUUCAUGGGGUCCUCUUAUAUCAACCUUAGUCAUGAAAUGGCUGUCACCAAUUGGCUGCACUGGCUGCUACAUCUUGUUUCAUAUUGUGCAUGAUAUUUGCUAUCCUUAUCAUUACAAUGACAAGAAUAUUCACUCAUUUCCUCUCAUACUGUAGCUGCUCUUCUCUCUUCAAACUGUCAAAAGCUCUUGACUUUGUCUUUGUUGCUAUAGAAUUGUGUGUGACUUUGACUUACUAAAAAGGCUUAUGAUUAUCAUAUGGUUUGUUUUUUACAUGCCUUUAUGAAGGUCUCAGGUUUGCAUUCUAAAUGAUUGGCAUAUUAUUCCUUUGAAGUCCUUUUGAUCUAGAUUGCUUAGAGAGUAUUGUGAAUGCUCAGUAUCUUGACACUUACUGUUAUGAAUAUUGUCCUUGAAGUGUCAUUCCAAACACCAUUCUUUGAGGUUCUUAGAAAGAUACAAAGUAAGCAUGCUAUGUGAUUUUUAUGGCUACUAAUCUGCCCUUAAUAUUGUUGUCGACUGAGAUUUGGUAUGGAUUAAAUCCUUAUGCCUUGUGAUAUUAUAAUCUUUUUUUGCAUUUUCAAAUUUUGUAGAGUAUGCAAAAUAUUUACUAGUGACCAUGGGUACUCGACGCAUACGUUUUCUAAUCAACAUUUUCUUAUUUUUAUGUCAUUAUGUGCCUUUUUAAGAAUAUGGGCAUGGGUGCGACCAAUUCUUCUAUGGGGGAUCCUUUGUUCUUAAAUGCUUUGAUUGAUAUGUUAAAAAAUGGACAAGGGAAACAAAUUACUAUGAUGGUGCAUGAGGCCAUCUCAAAAGUAACUCCAUCUUGUGUGAAUCUUGUUGGCAUGAAGGAUCCAUCUGUGCCCUCCAAUACAUCUACUAUUAUGGUAGAGGAUGUCUCAAGGAUUACUCCAACAAACACUAAUGUUCCUAAUGUGGGUUCAGUCAGAGUUCUCCCACCAACAUCCGAACAAGUUUCCUUGAGGAGUCUCAUAGAUUCUCAAUCAAGAAUACUAAGGCUCCUACCAGAUACUCCUAAAGAUGUUCCAAUCAGACAAGAAAUAAGUGAACAAAUUUAGUUAUGGGAAAGGGCAUUAUUUGAGAGUCCAGGGCCUACCUCAAAUGAACAGGAAAUAAAUGACAAAGUGGUUGAUGCAACUAUAGCAGCAUCUACCUCAACCCAGAGGACUACAACAAUAUCCUCAGUGACUACAAAAGGAAUGCAAGAAGUUACAAUCUUGCUCACCUCAGAAGGAAAUGUCUUGAAGGAUGAAGUGGGGUUAAAAUUCUUUCACUUUAAUUUUCAUCGUGCUGAACAAUUAUUUGGAAAUACAAUUCAAAUAGAUUGGAGGAAGCAAUCCAAUGCUAAGAAAGAUGAACUCUUUAAAGAUGUCAUAACAACAUUUGGAAAUUUAGGUUUCCAUAAGGAAAUUAUUGUAGAUAUUGCACGAAAAUACAUGCACUCUAAACGAGACAAUUUAAGGUCAAAGUUGACAAAAGACUUGAGAUAUCCACGUCCAGCUUGGAUCACAGACCAAGUGACAUGGGAAGAACUUAUGAAAGAUGCCAAAUUUAAGAGGAAGGUUGAGAAUAAGCCAAACUAUAGGUCAUCUGCAUGAGGAGGAUUGAGAAGAUGCCUUCGAGAUACAACAAAAGCAACCCAAGCUAGGGUGUCAAGUAUUGGAUCCCAUAAAUUAGGAUCUAGUGGGUACAAUAGCAUUCAUGGUGGUUUGGUUCACCAUUUUCAAAAGGAAGCUUCAGAGGAGGACCUAAAAUAUGCUUUAUUACAUGGUUCCCAAGGUCUACGACAACAUAUGCUAGAUCGAGGGAAGAAAUUAGUGAGUGGUCAUGAAUCUGAGGAAGCCCAACAAUCAAACUCAUCAGGUAGUGAGCAUGAAGAGGAGCUAGAGGAUCAUGAUGAAUUGUUUGUUGCACACAAUGAUUCGACUGUCAUUCCUCAAACUCGGGAGAAAACCAUCUUUGAAUUUUAGCAAGUGGGAGACAACAAUAUUAAGGAGGGUAUUCAAUGUGAUGAACAAUCCACACCCACAAUCAGAAAAGUGCCUCGUAGAAAGGGGACAAAAAGCAAGAGGAUGGAUAGAAACAAAUAAACACAAGACAUAUUUGCUUCCUAUCAUUGUUUAGAAUUCAUUACUAUUAUAAACCUAAUUUAUAUAGCAUCAUAUAAGUUACUGGAAUACUUGUGAAUUUAUUCACUUUUACAAAUGGAUUUCUGAUUUCACUUCUAUUUUCUAUUGAAUAGUACAUUAUUCCCAAAUAUGGUUGAGAAUAAAGUUUGGUAUUUUUUGGGUAUCUCCCUCAAGUCAUAUUUAAAUGCUUUAGAGUUCUAAUCUGACUGUUAAAUUGAGUUUUUUGUGGAUCAACAAAGGCUAAACUUCACGACUAACUCAAAUUUAGGACUUAGUAUUAUGUUUGGUUGGUGUUAUUAUCUUUGGCUACAUCUAUUCUGUAAAAAGAAUCAUCAAGAUUUAUAAUCUUCUAAAAAAGGAUUGUUCCUUAAAUAUUUUCUAGUUGUAAGUUUCUUGUGAGCAAUUAUCAAGAUUUCUAAGCUUCUAAAAAGGUAUGGUUCCUUAAAUAGAAUGCCAUGGCUAUGUAUCAAUAUUUAUAUGUAUCUAAUGAUGGAUAUGCAAUGCAAGAUGAAACACCAUAGAUAGGCAAAAACCCUCAAGAUCAUCCUGGGAUGAUUCAGGUACUGGAUUAUUACACUCUGUCAAUACCUGAUGAGAAUGUUGUUUGUUAGUAAUUCAUGCACUCUUGAAUGUAUUUUCUUUUCUUUUUUUAAUCAUGCUUGUCAUCAUUUUGCAAAGGCCACAGGUUACCAAUUUCUUGUUUUUGUUUUUCAUUUCAAGUAUUCUUAGGUCAUAUUAGGGCACUUGACAUUGUUGGAAAUGAACUACCCCGCUUAGUUUAUGUAUCUCGUGAAAAGAGGCCUGAUUUCCAACACGACAAGAGAGUUGGUGCAAUGAAUGCAUUGGACACUACAAUUUGAUUAGGGUUUUAACAGUGGAUGGCGCCGACCACAUAGCUAGAGUCUCUAUUUCCACCCUUCAUGCCAAGCACAUUGCAGAACUGGUUUUCCAGGCCAGGUUUAGAGAUUUCAAAAACUUUUUAUUCCAAUACAACAACAUCAGCAUAGCCCCA
Cryptomeria japonica (Japanese cedar) is the source of this 8879-nucleotide RNA transcript. It is a transcript of the gene named calcium-binding protein CBP-like, with no coding region annotated. Lineage: Eukaryota; Viridiplantae; Streptophyta; Pinopsida; Cupressales; Cupressaceae. The transcript is spliced from 10 exons. The record is from RefSeq and is a predicted model, not a curated record.